Molecule: RNase P RNA, 389 nt
Filed under: Ruminiclostridium herbifermentans
Lineage: Bacteria; Bacillati; Bacillota; Clostridia; Eubacteriales; Oscillospiraceae
Description: Bacterial RNase P class A
Rfam family: Bacterial RNase P class A
About the family: Ribonuclease P (RNase P) is a ubiquitous endoribonuclease, found in archaea, bacteria and eukarya as well as chloroplasts and mitochondria. Its best characterised activity is the generation of mature 5'-ends of tRNAs by cleaving the 5'-leader elements of precursor-tRNAs. Cellular RNase Ps are ribonucleoproteins.
Source: Rfam by way of RNAcentral
UGAGUAAGCCAGAUGAUCGCAGAUACAGCUUGAAAAGGCGUAUAUGAGGAAAGUCCGGGCUCCAAAGGGCAAUGGUGCCGGGUAACUCCCGGUAAAGGCGACUUUAAGGAAAGUGCAACAGAAAUAUACCGCCAAGCUAGUUAUUUAAGUUGAGUAAAGUUUACUUUUUCAGUUUAAAUAUUUAUCUUGGUAAGGAUGGAAAGGCGAGGUAAGAGCUCACCAGCGACUUGGCGACUUGUCGGCUAUGUAAACCCCACCUGGAGCAACGCCGUGGAGGGACGCAAUGACUGCCCGUCAGUCCCGUGGAGGCGGCUUGAGUUAUACAGAAAUGUAUAGCCUAGAUAGAUGAUCAUCUAAUACAGAACCCGGCUUAUAGACUUACUCAACAU